Molecule: ribosomal RNA, 258 nt
Filed under: uncultured bacterium
Lineage: Bacteria
Description: partial 16S ribosomal RNA
Rfam family: Bacterial small subunit ribosomal RNA
Source: RNAcentral
UACAGAGACCUCAAGCGUUAUCCGGAAUCAUUGGGCGUAAAGCGUACCGAUAGGUGGUUAAGAAAGUCAGAUGUGAAAUCUCCGAGCUCAACUCGGAAUCUGUCAUUUGAAACUUCUUGACUAGAGGGGCAAAGAGGAAGCUGGAACGAACGGUGUAGUAGUGAAAUGCGUUGAUAUCGUUCGGAACACCAAUAGCGUAGGCAGGCUUCUGGGUGCCACCUGACACUGCUAGGACGAAAGCGUGGGGAGCGAAGUGGG